GGAUCUCAGAGUGCAGCCUUUGGUGUGGAAACAUUGCAGCAAGUGUCAGGAUUCGUGUCCUGACCCGUUACAAGCCUCAGUGUUACUGAGAUGAGAGAAAGCAAAGCUCCUGCAGACACAGAGGCAUACUUCAGCCUGGUCCAGGACCAAAUCUCCUCUUAGCAUUAAUAAUACAUCAGUGGCUUUGGCGGGGGCAUGGUGACAUCAGUGUGGUACAUCUCUUGGGGAAAGACAAUCCAUCAGCGUUGGGGUGUUACUUCUGCUGCCUUCGGACCGAUAACCCAGCUGGUGCUUCACGAGACGUGUCAAUGUGAGGCCGUGUGUGUGGCUGUGCAAAGAGGAAUGGCAUCUUGAAAAUCAUCUUGAUAAAUACCUGCCGUCGGAGGCUGAGCCCUCCGCUGACAUAAAUAAGGUGCUCCCGUGCCGGAGCGGAGCUGCAGCGAUGUGACCCAGAAUCCUGUUGCAGGGUUGGGAUCGUUCCCAGCACAGUCCUGUGCUUCAAUCUUCUGCGUGACAUCAGAUAAGUAAACACCAAGAUUUGAUGUGAGAACAUAUGUCCAUUGCAUAAUUCAUUAGCAUUCUUCUCUGGAAUUACUUUUAGAUAUAUGUACUUAGAUCAGAAUUAGUGGGUGAGGGUUAUUCUGGGGAAAAAAGAAGCUAUGGCAGCUUUCAGAAAUGGGUGCUUCUCCUGGGACUGAAGGCAAGUUUGGCCAUUCAUUGUGUUUGCUUCUUAAACGAUUAUUUUGGUCGUGUAGAUUCAUUUCCUGCAAUUUGGGUGUGAGGUGGUGGAAGAACAGUGGCACAGAAACCCUCAGCUUAGCACUGCUGCUAAGUGCACUGCUCAGAAAAUAUAAUUAUCAUCUCGACCAAUUUCAUAGCUGUGUAACUCCAUCGCCUUGAGUAUAGUCGUUCCUGAUUGCCAAACACAAGAAACAUUCAAAACUAUUUACCUUCUGUUUUGCAACGUACCCGCUCCAUGUUUGUACUGCUUAGCAGGCAAAGUCAAUUGUUAGCCUGCCCAGGCUGUGCAGAUGUACGGUAACAGCAAAUCAUCGCAGCGCUUACAGCUUGUUCUCUUGUGUCAGCAAGAAAAUUGGAAGCAUGUUCAGCUUCUGUGGGACGCCUGGGAUGUGCGUUGUUCUCUAACGAAGCCAUUGCAUGCACCCUUUUCCUUGCCUCAUUUCAUCUUGACAUGCAGUGCAGCCAAUGGCUCUGGGGGUUGUUUUGCUGUAGGAAUGUUUGGGGGGAAAAAAAACCAAACCCAUCCCAAAACAGUACUGUACAGUAUGAGUCACUGAGGAGAAAUGGGAGGAGGAGUUAUUUUGAGGGCUUUUAUAUCUUCCUUAUUGCUAGGAGACUGCUUCCCCUGAGUGCAGCGCUCUCCGGGCUCCCAACAGCUGCCUUGUUUGCACUGAGGGCAAUUCACAGAGCAGCUUCGUAGUAGAGGAGAAACAAACCUGGAUGGAGCUCAUUGUCACUUCUCAUGCUUCUGAGACAAAUGCAGGAGUAAAUGGGAGACAGCUGCUAGUGCCAAGGACAGCAUUGUGCCCAAAAUGUCGGGGCUCUGGGGCUGAUCUCAGAGCUCUGCUCAGGUGCCAGGACAGCCACAGGCUGUUCUCUGCAAAGAGCCGUUCCAGGCCUGGGAUUCAGAGCAUGAGGAUGUGCUUUGCCCAUAGCUUUGCUGUUGCAAAAGCAAUACCUAAGUCCUGUAAGUCACGAACACCUGAAGGCUCCUCUGCCCUGGCUGGGUGUGUGGGGCUGGGGCAAAACAAUCCAUUGGGAGUGAACUGUCAGGAAAAUGAUGCUGAGACCAUCACUGGUAUUGCUGGUAUUGAUGGUGAUGGCUGCAGCUUUCCCACCCAGCGGGGGCCUGAGAGGGCAUGGCAGCGGGGUGAGCUGCCCACGGGCCUCCCAGCACUGGUGUUCUGUAAGGGGGAAUAUGUGGAGUGAAGUCCAGACUUCAUUUGUAAUGCACCCCUACUGCGAACUGUUUGCAGAGACUGGGUCUAGCAACAAGGGAGGUAAGGCUAUCAAUAUAUCAUUUUGCUCUGAAGUCGUGAGGCUGUUGCACAUUUUAUGUAAGCAAGUACUCAGUCACAUUAAUUUUAGGCAUCUGAGACUGUAUUUAUGAUGUACUAAAUCCAACUUUAUGUUCCUGGUAGCAAUCAGAGAUGUCAUGGUCCUCAGAGGUAAAGCACUGAAUGGGUACAAAUGCAGCCUGCUGGCUCAGGAAAUGUUGAUGGGUCAAUUCCAUGCAGCCAAGGCUUGGACUUCAUCAGGUUUUGUCCUCCUGUCUGUAAAUGGCGUGACUGGCAAAAGCAAUGGCAACGCAGGUCAGUAAUUUGUGCUUUGAUUUGACCAUGGAGUGACUGUAUAACUACCAGAUAAGGGCUACAUGUGCACUGCUAAGGAAGCCAGCAGUGAAAAUGCACUAUUGCCAAUCUAGCAUCCCAGGUCUGGUCUGUCCCUGAUGGCUGCUCCAUGAGCUCUGGUGGGAGUUUACACUGUGAGCUAUUGGUGCUCUGAGUUACACCAGAGGCAGAUCCUCAAAGCAGCCUUCAAGAGAAAGUGUGAACAGCAGCCAGAUAGCACACGUGACUCUGAGUUAUAAAAUUCUCAGUUCUGAAUAAAAAUUGUUUUCCGGGAACCACAGAUUUAAUAAUGCAGCUGAAGUAAUCUGAUUGUGUUUGGGAUUAUAAAUGGACAAAUCUCCUAGGGCUGUAGUCAUAAAGUCUAGGGAAAAAAAAAACAACAAAUCUAGUUAAUGAGAAUGUGUGAAUUUAUCAUCUAGAAGGGAGUUACGGAGACAACUGUACAAUAUCUCUUAUUGCAUCUUUCACGCUAAUGCCAGAUGGCUGGGAAUGGGAUCCCCCAUGUUCUCCUCCUUGUCUAAGAAGACAAGAAUAUAAACAAGGAAAGUGUCUGUGAUGGUAUUAUUUGGCUGCCUGGUAAGAUGAGUCAUUGCUUUUGAUCGCUUAAAUAAUUAGGACUGCUUUAUAAUUUGAUUACAGUGUUAUCUCUUUCUGCUCUGUAACCCCAGGUUUUGGGUUUCCAGCAGUAGCUCAUCCUUACCAAUAUUCCUCCUCACAUGCUGUCCUUUCCACGUCCCCAUUUAGUUCUGCCUCACAGAUCGCAAGCUCUCAAUCACCUUUUUACCUUCUCUUAGUUCAUGCUCUUCCCCUGUGCUAACUGCUUGUGACUAAUGCACAUUUUCGGGCCAAACAUCAGGUACCCUCAGCACUGUGCUGUGUAAAUAGACCAGCAGGUGUAAGCAGUACAUUAGAAAAGCUUUACUCGACAUAAAUUAGUACUUACAGGAGCCGUCCCUGCAUGUCCCAAAGGCAGGCCAGAUGGCCAGCGUUGGCGUGGGCUGGCCCCAGCCUCACCCCGGGGACUUCUCCUUGGUUUCUUCACACCAGUGGAGCAGUGUGGUCUGUAGCUAUGAAAGUUUCCAUUCUUAAUUUUAAUUUGCAGAAGCUGGGAGCCAUUUGCAAGCGCUGGCUCCAAUUAGGGAAUGCUGGCGCGUGGCGGCUGUGCAGGGUGAUAUUGGGAUGGUCUUCUCCCAAGGCGAGCUCUAGGCUUUUGUCUCUUGCCAUGACAACAAGGCUAUCAGUAGAUGAGGCUCUGAUAUGAGGUUACCAGCAAGCAGAGUGCAUUUGCCCACACACUUUUGAUCAGGGAUUGGUCCUUGUCGCUUCCUUGUCGCUGGCUGGACUUUGAAAGCGCCUUUGAUCCAGCUAUGCCAAAGAAAUGCAGUUGUUUGAAGUCUUUGAUCCUUUCUGUGGGCAGACUAGGCCCAGAGAUCUUGAUGGGCUAGAGCUGUUUCUGAGCAUUUCUUCCUUAUUAAGACUCAGCAUAAGCUGCAUAAAACUCUUUCCAUUGGCACGUCUGAGCAGACCCAGACCAGGUUGUUUUACACCAGUUGGUGGGUUGGAGUAGAAACCCAUCCCUCCAUCACUCUUGUCGUCUAUGGGACCAUCAUGUGAGUCACCAAGCUUCCCAGGCUCAGCUGCCUUCCAACCACAGGACAAGGUUGUGCCAGGAAUCACAGGAGACAAAACAUAGGGAGGGAACUUUCAGUGGUCAUUUUAAGGCAGAAAUUUUGUCAGAAUGAGAUAGAAAAUAGUGGGUUUGCUGAUAGGCACAGGUUGCUUGGGUGAGACAGGAGUGGGUACAGGUGUGGGUGCCCUCUGCUCAGGUUUUGUUCUGGAGGUGCUUGAUGUGCUGUACAAUCCCGUGCUCCAUGGCACUGGGGGGGGGUCCUGCUGUAUGCAUGCUCUGUGUCUGGAUGUUUAUUUUUAAGUGGAUAAUAUGCUGCCUUUCCUAUUCAGAGAGCGUACCAAAGCAAUUUUUGUUCCUUAGUGAAUACCAGAAAUAACUGGGUAAGUACAAAUAUAUCUCCUAGCAGCCUUGUUUGUGACCGAAGUGUGCACUGAGUCUUCUCACUACAUCAGGGCUGCAAAUAUUCGAGUCACAUUCGGAUGGCAAAGCCAACGGCACAUAGCUUUAAUUACAAUAUUUCUCUCCAACAGUCUUUCUCUCAUGUUUUUUUCUGAACAUUGUUUAAAGAACUGAUGAAAGGGAUGAAAACUUUUCAAACUUUCCUUUUCUUAGGGUCUCAUCAGCUCAGUCUUUCAUCACACAGUCAAUAAACAGUUGAAAAGGACUCUUCUGAACUGCAGCAGGAGGGAGGAGGAAGAGGGGAAAUUAAUGAUAUCACCAAACUGAAAACUCUUUCAAGUUGCCUUUAAUUGCAGAGGGCAUGGGCAGCGAUUUCAGUUUUUAGCUCUCAGAUCUCUUGCUGUCCCCAGAGGGGUUUGCCCUCCUCUCCUCCUGCACUGCCAGCAUUCCUCCUGGAGUGGCUGAGCCAGGUGGCAGUGGGGCAGGCAGAUGACUCCAGCAUGGGCUCCAACUCAUGUCUCCAACACCAUCACCUCCAGCACUUUCCCUCCUCAUGGCACUCCUGAAGUUGAUGUCCCCCAGGACCCCAACUUCACAUGAGCACCUGAAUUCAAGGCACCCAUGGAGCUGUGCUCCCUAUUUCCAGUCUCUCGUAGAAAAUCUUCAGAGUAGAAAGGAGAGGAUCUGGGAGGUGGAAGAAAUAACAGAUGUGCUGCUGUGCUGGAGACGUUUCCAGGCUGAACCCCUCCGCACCCCUCCCAACAUCAGUAUUCUGCUUGUUGUCCCCACCGGCCAGCAUGAACUGCCCUGAUGUCUUCUUGCUGUGAAUUCAUGCCUUCGUGAGGAAUAAAUACUCACGAGGCUUCCAAGAGGGACAUUCCCGAAGCCGGUGCUGUGCAGCAGGCUUAGCGUAUUUUGCCUUUCCUGGCUCAAGCACUCACAGGGCACUGUUCCCCUAUAGAAUCAUCUCUUAGCAUUGCCAGCCUCCACAAUUUUGCACAGAAAUGGGACCAGAAGUGCUGUGCCUGGACACGAGAAGAUCUCUUAGGACUGGCCUGUGUAAGAACCUUUAACAUCAGCUGCACCUCCUGGACUUGGAAUGAGCACAGCAGAUGUGUGUGUUACCAACAAGCACAGUGUGGCAAUGGCAGAAGGAGAUCCCACCCCAGAGCUCAUCUGCAAAGUGGGGAUAACACGGAAUGCUUCCUGCUGAAAAAGAAAAAACGUUUUAACCCAUCUGCCAAGCAACUGCUUCAAAUUAUAUUUUGUGAUAAAAGCAAAUGAAGCGUAAUUGAGAAGAGACAAGAGAAUCUUGCCCUGAGAACAGAGCGAUAAGAAACGCGUUGUGACAACGGUGCGAUGUAUAUCGUUACUCUGCAGUGCACCAAACGUCCCCGCUGCCCCAGAGCUGUGACUGUGCUGUGGGGAGGGCAGCUGGCUGCUGUGGUCGUGAAGCUGAAGAUGUGCCUUCCUCCUCCUGUGUGAGACCGCUCCUCUAAGCCUUACACACGUUGCUGGAAGACUUAGGCCAACCAGCUGCCAGGAAUGAGGCAAAAAAGGCACUGAGAUGCUCCUGGAGAUGCUGCUUAAAGAACAAAUGUCAGACAGAGAUGCCUGCUGCAGGUAUGCAAGCUGCCCAACCUGCAGCCUGUUCCAGGUUAUUAGAAAGCACUGAGGGACGUGUGUCUGAACGGCAGAAAACUGAAGAAGUCACGCACUCCGGCUCAGUACUGUGGACCGGGUGCAUGGCAGCACCUUGCAAAGGAGCAGCACGAGGACAAGCAUCACUCUGCGCUGCAGGGAGGGACCUGCCUCCAUCUCCCAUGGGGGUUGACCUUGUGGCUGCCCUGCUCUCUCCAUCGCUGAGCACAGAUCCCAGCCUGGAAGCUGCACUCAUGUCAGCUGGAUGGAGCGGGAGCUGCUGCUGCCUCGGCUGCUCUUCGUUGUGCCUGCAAAGCAUAUUUAAAUGGAAGUUCACUGCCCUCCUGGGCACAUGGAUUUGGUAAUGAAACCCCCAGAGGUGAGGAAGGAGUCAACAGACAGACCCAUAUGGGCAACACUGGAGGAUUAUGUGCAGUGCUGGCCAAACGACUUCCACUAGCCACAGCAACACCUCUUGGUGGCCAUGCAGCUGGUAACCUCAUCUGAUGGAGCCGUGCGGUGUCCCCACACCUCCUGUCCUUCCCAUCAGCUCUAUGGGCACCUGAGCCUCUGACUGAACUGCUGCUUAAACGGGG
RNAcentral lists this long non-coding RNA (6638 nucleotides) under Gallus gallus (chicken). The record is from RNAcentral. Lineage: Eukaryota; Metazoa; Chordata; Aves; Galliformes; Phasianidae.